This 637-nucleotide long non-coding RNA is filed under the name Cricetulus griseus (Chinese hamster). RNAcentral describes it as "lncRNA (ENSCGRG00015038794.1)". Lineage: Eukaryota; Metazoa; Chordata; Mammalia; Rodentia; Cricetidae. The record is from RNAcentral.
CCCCAGGGUUUCCAGCCUUGGGCCAGCCCUUCCUUUGAGCCGUUUAAUGGGAAAUAGUGAGGAGCUACCUAAGUGUGUUGAGCAGAGACGGUGUGAUAAAACUGGCUUCAAGCAGAUUUGUGAAGUGGUGAGAAGCUGACAGAUUAAUUAGGAAGCUCUUGAGGUGAACAGGCACCAGACCAUGGAGACCUGAAGCAGAGAGCAGCAUUAGGAAAAAGGAGGGGUCUCUAAAACCAGCUCAGAGAGGUAGCAGGGUUGGCCAGAGUCAGGAAGCGGCCGGACCCCAGCUCCACCAGGUAUGGGCACGCCAACCAUAAAAUGAUAUGUGAGUUCAUUACAACGGAACAGCCCAGGGGUAAAUACAUGAAAGACUGAGUGAGAAUUCUUCAGCAUUUCCAUCCUAUCAAGAGCACACAACAGUGGAAUAAAUCCAUAUAUGCAAACCAGGCAUAGUGUGGCACACACCUUUAAUCCCAGCACUCAGGAAUCGGAGGCAGCUAAAUGCCUAAGGACAAUAAGCGUUUUCCUGUUUGUGUCUAAAGGGUCCAUGGAGACUUUAUCCUGGCAUGGGGAGAAAGGGUGUCGUUAACCCAUUGCCAUCACACAGCAGAUGGUAGUGUCAAGACUAAGCGGGCAG